AACGAACGCUGGCGGCAGGCCUAACACAUGCAAGUCGAACGCUCGUAGCAAUACGGGAGUGGCAGACGGGUGCGUAACGCGUGGGAACAUACCCUUUGGUUCGGAAUAACUCAGGGAAACUUGAGCUAAUACCGGAUACGCCCGAGAGGGGAAAGAUUUAUUGCCGAAGGAUUGGCCCGCGUCUGAUUAGCUAGUUGGUAGGGUAACGGCCUACCAAGGCGACGAUCAGUAGCUGGUCUGAGAGGAUGAUCAGCCACACUGGGACUGAGACACGGCCCAGACUCCUACGGGAGGCAGCAGUGGGGAAUAUUGGACAAUGGGCGCAAGCCUGAUCCAGCCAUGCCGCGUGAGUGAUGACGGCCUUAGGGUUGUAAAGCUCUUUUACCUGGGAAGAUAAUGACGGUACCAGGAGAAUAAGCCCGGCUAACUCGUGCCAGCAGCCGCGGUAAU
This 450-nucleotide ribosomal RNA is filed under the name uncultured bacterium. RNAcentral describes it as "bacterial SSU rRNA". It matches the Rfam family "Bacterial small subunit ribosomal RNA", at positions 29 to 524 of the family's 1533-position model. The record is from RNAcentral.